This 218-nucleotide unclassified non-coding RNA is filed under the name Hevea brasiliensis (rubber tree). The record is from RNAcentral. Lineage: Eukaryota; Viridiplantae; Streptophyta; Magnoliopsida; Malpighiales; Euphorbiaceae.
CCUCAUUCUCCAUCGUUUCAUUCUGUUUCUCUGCAAGAAACUGCCAUUUUUCUUCUUUCAGUUCCUUUCUCUAUCCUUCUAUUUUCUUGAAUAUCUUGUCAAUGGCGAUAGCGUCUCCGUCCACUCCAAGCUUCUCAGUUUCCUUCUGCUGCAAACGCGCUGAGUUCAAUCCUGUAUUUCGCUGCUUCUCCGUCGCUUUUACUCAUCGGAAUCUCCCG